AUUGAACGCUGGCGGCAGGCCUAACACAUGCAAGUCGAGCGGAUGAAGGGAGCUUGCUCCUGGAUUCAGCGGCGGACGGGUGAGUAAUGCCUAGGAAUCUGCCUGGUAGUGGGGGAUAACGUCCGGAAACGGGCGCUAAUACCGCAUACGUCCUGAGGGAGAAAGUGGGGGAUCUUCGGACCUCACGCUAUCAGAUGAGCCUAGGUCGGAUUAGUUAGUUGGUGGGGUAAAGGCCUACCAAGGCGACGAUCCGUAACUGGUCUGAGAGGAUGAUCAGUCACACUGGAACUGAGACACGGUCCAGACUCCUACGGGAGGCAGCAGUGGGGAAUAUUGGACAAUGGGCGAAAGCCUGAUCCAGCCAGGCCGCGUGUGUGAAGAAGGUCUUCGGAUUGUAAAGCACUUUAAGUUGGGAGGAAGGGCAGUAAGUUAAUACCUUGCUGUUUUGACGGUACCAACAGAAUAAGCACCGGCUAACUUCGUG
Molecule: ribosomal RNA, 484 nt
Filed under: uncultured bacterium
Lineage: Bacteria
Description: partial 16S ribosomal RNA
Rfam family: Bacterial small subunit ribosomal RNA
Source: RNAcentral